AUUGAACGCUGGCGGCAGGCCUAACACAUGCAAGUCGAGCGGAGCGGCGGACGGGGGAGGAAUGCCAAGGAAUCUGCAUGGUAGUGGGGGAUAACGUCCGGAAACGGGCGCUAAUACCGAAACCUAUCAGCUGAGCAUAGGUCGGAUUUGCUAGUUGGUGGGGUAAAGGCCUACCAAGGCGACGAUCCGUAACUGGUCUGAGAGGAUGAUCAGUCACACUGUAACUGAGACACGGUCCAGCCUCCUACGGGAGGCAUCAGUGGGGAAUAUUGGACAAUGGGCGAAAGCCUGAUCCAGCCAUGCCGCGUGUGUGAAGAAGGUCUUCGGAUUGUAAAGCACUUUAAGUUGGGAGGCGUUACCCACAGAAUAAGCACCGGCUAACUUCGUGCCAGCAGCCGCGGUAAUUC
This 407-nucleotide ribosomal RNA is filed under the name uncultured bacterium. Its description in RNAcentral is "partial 16S ribosomal RNA". It matches the Rfam family "Bacterial small subunit ribosomal RNA", at positions 30 to 526 of the family's 1533-position model. The record is from RNAcentral.